GGAAUGUGCUUCUAGGGUUCCGAUUCGGUAAAUUAACAACCGAGUGGCUGGUCCAAGAGAAGCAGCCAGCUUGAGAUUCUGAGUGCCGGAAUACGAGUUGGUCACACGGCGGGAAAAAAGCCCGGGAGAG
This 130-nucleotide small RNA is filed under the name Gloeocapsa. RNAcentral describes it as "sp. Guanidine-I sequence". It matches the Rfam family "Guanidine-I riboswitch aptamer". From Rfam's summary of the family: This family represents a conserved RNA structure found upstream of the ykkC and yxkD genes in Bacillus subtilis and related genes in other bacteria. The function of this family is unclear although it has been suggested that it may function to switch on efflux pumps and detoxification systems in response to harmful environmental molecules. The record is from RNAcentral. RNAcentral also lists the same sequence under 1 other name. Lineage: Bacteria; Bacillati; Cyanobacteriota; Cyanophyceae; Chroococcidiopsidales; Chroococcidiopsidaceae.